This 678-nucleotide ribosomal RNA is filed under the name uncultured archaeon. Its description in RNAcentral is "bacterial SSU rRNA". It matches the Rfam family "Archaeal small subunit ribosomal RNA", at positions 461 to 1138 of the family's 1478-position model. The record is from RNAcentral.
GCCGCCGCGGUAAUACCGGCGGCUCGAGUGGUGGCCACUUUUAUUGGGCUUAAAGCGCUCGUAGCUGGGUUGUUAAGUCUCUUGGGAAAUCUGGCAGCUUAACUGUCAGGCGUCUAAGAGAUACUGGCAAUCUAGGAACCGGGAGAGGUGAGGGGUACUUCGGGGGUAGGAGUGAAAUCCUGUAAUCCUCGAGGGACCACCUGUGGCGAAGGCGCCUCACCAGAACGGCUUCGACAGUGAGGGACGAAAGCUGGGGGAGCAAACCGGAUUAGAUACCCGGGUAGUCCCAGCCGUAAACGAUGCGCGUUAGGUGUGUCGAUGACCACGAGUCAUCGAGGUGCCGAAGGGAAACCGUGAAACGCGCCGCCUGGGAAGUACGGUCGCAAGGCUGAAACUUAAAGGAAUUGGCGGGGGAGCACCACAACAGGUGGAGCCUGCGGUUUAAUUGGACUCAACGCCGGGAAGCUCACCGGAUAGGACAGCAGAAUGAUUGCCGGGCUGAAGAUUCUGCAUGACUAGCUGAGAGGAGGUGCAUGGCCGUCGUCAGUUCGUACUGUGAAGCAUCCUGUUAAGUCAGGCAACGAGCGAGACCCACGCCAACAGUUGCCAGCACGAUCCCCGGAUCGGUGGGGACACUGUUGGGACCGCCUCUGCUAAAGAGGAGGAAGGAAUGGGCAA